RNAcentral lists this long non-coding RNA (235 nucleotides) under Mustela putorius furo (domestic ferret). RNAcentral's name for it is "lncRNA (ENSMPUG00000023907.1)". The record is from RNAcentral. Lineage: Eukaryota; Metazoa; Chordata; Mammalia; Carnivora; Mustelidae.
GUUGAACAAAUGAGUGCACAGUCAUAGAAUCCACCAUCUAGAUUCUAAAAAUUGUGGACAUCACAUGACACUUACUUCACCACUUAUCCACUCUUCCGUCCGUUUAUCUGUCCAUCUUAUGUGUGGUGCGUUUUGAAGUAAGGUGCAGAGUUCUCAGAGAAUGCAAGUGUUCUGCCGUCUUUGGAGCUUUGUCUGCAAACAGCUCAAAGGAGAUGCACCCCAAAGGCUCACUGUU